UACGGAGGAUGCGAGCGUUAUCCGGAUUUAUUGGGUUUAAAGGGUGCGCAGGCGGAGGCACAAGUCAGCGGUAAAACCGCGGGGCUCAACCCCGCUCCGCCGUUGAAACUGUGUCCCUUGAGUGCGCGAAGGGUAGGCGGAAUGCGUGGUGUAGCGGUGAAAUGCAUAGAUAUCACGCAGAACUCCGAUCGCGAAGGCAGCCUACCGGCGCGCGACUGACGCUCAUGCACGAAAGCGUGGGUAUCGAACAGG
This 252-nucleotide ribosomal RNA is filed under the name uncultured bacterium. Its description in RNAcentral is "partial 16S ribosomal RNA". It matches the Rfam family "Bacterial small subunit ribosomal RNA", at positions 524 to 776 of the family's 1533-position model. The record is from RNAcentral.